This 463-nucleotide ribosomal RNA is filed under the name uncultured bacterium. RNAcentral describes it as "bacterial SSU rRNA". It matches the Rfam family "Bacterial small subunit ribosomal RNA", at positions 331 to 792 of the family's 1533-position model. The record is from RNAcentral.
CCAGACUCCUACGGGAGGCAGCAGUGAGGAAUAUUGGUCAAUGGCCGGGAGGCUGAACCAGCCAAGUCGCGUGAGGGAAGACGGCCCUACGGGUUGUAAACCUCUUUUGUCAGGGAGCAAGGUGCAGGUCGGGACCUGCUGUGAGAGUACCUGAAGAAAAAGCAUCGGCUAACUCCGUGCCAGCAGCCGCGGUAAUACGGAGGAUGCGAGCGUUAUCCGGAUUUAUUGGGUUUAAAGGGUGCGUAGGCGGGACCUUAAGUCAGCGGUAAAAUUGCGGUGCUCAACGCCGUAGAGCCGUUGAAACUGGGGUUCUUGAGUGAGCGAGAAGUAUGCGGAAUGCGUGGUGUAGCGGUGAAAUGCAUAGAUAUCACGCAGAACCCCGAUUGCGAAGGCAGCAUACCGGCGCUCAACUGACGCUGAGGCACGAAAGUGCGGGUAUCGAACAGGAUUAGAUACCCCUGUA